Molecule: non-coding RNA, 2053 nt
Organism: Tetranychus urticae (two-spotted spider mite)
Lineage: Eukaryota; Metazoa; Arthropoda; Arachnida; Trombidiformes; Tetranychidae
Source: RefSeq, a predicted model, not a curated record
CAAUAAGCCAGCUGACAUGCAUGUUUAUCUCUCAACCUGGUUGAGUAAACCAUCCUUUUUAAUCAUUUAAUUGUAGAGUUUAAAUCUGAUUGCUAUUUUUCUGUAAACAGUUGUCCCUUGUUACUAUCAAAUUUGAGAAAUCGUUGAUAUUAAUUUGUUUUUUUACUAUUUUUUGUACAUUUUCUACAAAAUGAUGCAAUAAUGAGUUUAACUUACAUUUGUUGACAAAUGUUUUCUUUCAGUAUUUAUGUUUUUUUUCUUGUCAACUAGACUUGUGAUUAUUAAUUGUCGCUAAAUUUUUGCCUUGAAACUACAUACAUAUGAUUAAUUAUGUCAUUGUUUCGUCUAAGUGUUCGUCGCUUUUGUAAGUCUAUAAAACCAGAUGCAUCACCUGACUCAAAGUAUGUUCAACCGGUUAAAGGUUUUCGUAAACUAAUAGCUGAGUAUUUAACUAAAUUUGUCGGUUCAUAUGAAGAUGUUUUAUCUAAAAGAUUUCCCAAAGCAUUUGAAGUCUACCAAGUUUUCACCGUCGGUACACGAGCUCUUUACACUGAUACCGUUGAAUAUCUAAGAAUAUCUCGAGAACUCUCUUAUGGAAAAGAUGUACGCUCUUUAUCUUAUCAAGAGCUUUUAGUCUAUUAUCAAACACCAAAGGAUUUACUCAAAGUUGCACCAACUUUGUUAGUUUCAGCUGCCCCUUUCGCCAAUUACGUGGUGUUUCCAUUAGCUUUAUAUUUUCCUAAACAAUUAUUGUCUCAACACUUUUGGAGCAAGGAAAUCCGCUUCAAUUAUCAAUUAGAAAAAACAAAGAAACGAUUGAAACACAAUCGACCCAUAUUUCGCUAUCUUCAAUUCAAACUCUCUUCAAUUCCUAAGCAGUUGUCCAAUUCACCUGACAUCGAUUUCAAAGAGCAAUGCAAACUAAUUUAUGACAAACUUGGAAGUGGAACGCAUCCAACUGUUGAAGAAUUACUCAAAGUAUCUCCUGUUUUUGAUCAGCAACCAUACGGACUCCUGCAUCUUUCAAAAUCUCAUUUGUCUCAUCUCUGUAAGAUGCAUGGAAUAACGUCUUUACCUCGAAAAGUACCUCGACUUGUCAACUAUUGUGGAUUGGUUCACGAGUUAGAUUUAGCUAUUUUACGAUUAGGAGGAUCUGCAAAAUUAUCUGACAACGAUCUCAAGCUUGCUGCCAACAUGAGAGGAUUGAAUCCUUUUGGGUGUAGUAGAGAAGAAUUAACCAAUUGGCUUGAUAAUUGGCUUUACAUUUCUAAAGCAUUGAAUGGCACAUGUCCAUCGUUAUUACUCCAUUGUCCCAUCUUUCUCGGAUACAACCAGCCUAGCAAUUGGAAGCUUAUCUACAAAUAACUUUUGUACUUCUAGUCAUCUUUAAUUUUGUUAUUUGACAUGUAUCAUCAUGACUAUUUUUAGGAAUAAUCCACAGCUCAAUUCUAGUUCAGUUCAAUUGACAGCAUCUAUGACAUUUAUGCUUCAAAGAAGGACCAAAAUGAAAUUAGUAAAUAGUAAUUUCUGAAAUAAUAUAUGAGGCUGAUUGAUUGCUGGACUUUUUUCGAUUCAACCAAAACUGGUGCUUAAAGGCUGUCCGAACUAAAAGCCACUAAAAAUGGUGAAAAUUUUCUGUAUUCAUUGAAUAUGUUUGAACAAGUAUUUUUCAAUUGGUGAAGUUUUUUGCCAGAUAAGUCCAUAACACAUUCGUGCUGUUGCAACAUUUUGUUUGUCUAACUGUCUUUAAGAACUGAAACAUUAUUAAUUUUAUAUUCAACUAUUACACAAAAACUGUCUUGAAUUAACUUUCCAGCCUUUCCUGCAAAUACAAUUGGAUUCUUUCUAUCAAGUGAUCAUUAUUUUGAUUUUGUUGUUGUCCAUUUUCAACAGCAGCUAACCAAUGAAAGGAUACUAAAUAAUAUCGAUUGAUGCCACAAGAAAGAUAAAGAAACAAUUUCUGUCAUAUUUGUGCAUCAACAUCUGUUUUUCAUUGUUAACAUUGCUUUUGAAAUCAAAGAUUUCUCGCAACCAGUUAGUAAUUAACAAUGAU